This 1442-nucleotide long non-coding RNA is filed under the name Carica papaya (papaya). RNAcentral describes it as "long non-coding RNA (CPAP_LNC010262)". The record is from RNAcentral. Lineage: Eukaryota; Viridiplantae; Streptophyta; Magnoliopsida; Brassicales; Caricaceae.
ACGGUUUUUAAUAUAGAAAAAGAAACUCUGUGUCCUACUAUUUCCUCUAUACAAAAUCACCAUUACUCGAGUGUCCCACUGUUUCUUCUAUACAAAAUCACAAUUACUAGAUUGCACAAUUCAUUGAAAACCUUCCCCUCUAUUUUUUUUUUUUUUUUUUUUAAAUCUCCCCUUACACAUUUUUUAUCCCCCGACAUCAUUGGUUCUAAGAAAAUCUCUUACGAAAUUCUUCUUUGUCCCCUCUAUCUCUUGAUCAAAAAAGUCUUUUCAAAUUCUCUUCUCCUUCUUGGUCCCUCUUUCCUUCCCUUUUCGAGUUCCUGAACAUGCGCCUUUGUCUCUUUUUCAUCUCUGUUUUUGUUGUGUAGAUGAUGCAGUCCGUCGAUUGUAACGAACAACUAUUAAAAAUAAAAAAUAUACAGACUAAGCAUGAUAACAGAAUUGACUGGGUAAAAGAUGGGUACAACAGCAGCAAAGAAAAAGGGAAAUGUGGAGAAAAUAAAGUAAGCAAGAUCAUAACAAAACAAGUCAAACUCUAUCUCUUUAGCUUAUCAUUUCUUUUUUUUUUAAUCUUAGAUUAUUGUUGCUUAAUUUCCAGAUUUAUUUCCUAGUUAAUCGAUAAUCUAGUUGCAAUUUCAUGUAUUUAAGCAAGCAUUCAACAUCAAUAAAAAUCAUCAGAAAACCUUGUGGCUCUCCUCACUUGAACGAGAAACCUUUUCCUUUUUAAUUUUCAAGCUCUUUAUUGGGAUCAAUCAACUGGUAUCAGUGCUAUGACUAUCAAUAAAGAGAGAAUUGAAAACAUUGAGGCAAGUAUGGGAGGCAUGCAAUAUCAUAUAAGUCAUGCGGAGAUCAGACUGGCUGAGCGGAUGAUUCAGCUCAAGGACACGGUUAUGCGACUAACCGAAUCCCUGACACUCAAAAGGGAAGGCACUAGUAGCAACGCGGCCAACCGUCCUGCUCAGCUAUAGUUGCCUCGCGAUGAAACACCGGAAUGCACAGAGGGAGGCAAACCUCUGUUCAACUCCAGAAUCGCAAAGCUGGAUUUCCUGACUUUUGAAGGUGACGACCCGACCGAAUGGUGUAACCGAGCUGACAAAUUUUUUUAUUUUUAGGGUUUUCCCGAUGAGCAAAAACUGUCCCUGACCUAUUUUAACUACACGGGCGAAGCCAACCAAUGGUGGCAGUGGCUCCACGGCAUGUACGAAGAAGAAGGGUGAGAAGUGAUUUGGGAAACUUUUCAGGGGGAACUUUGGGCCAGGUUCAGCCUAACGGACUAUGAAAACUUUGAUGAGGCCCUCUCAUGCACAAAGCAAUCUGGCCCAUUAUGCGACUACCAGAAGGAGUUUGAGAAACUGGAAAAUCAAGUACAAGGCUGGACCUAGAAGGCCCUCGUGGGCACAUUCCUUGGCGGCCUUAAGCCCGAGAUUGCUGAAGGUAUCAGAAUG